This is a non-coding RNA of Odocoileus virginianus texanus, 2094 nucleotides long. The record is from RefSeq and is a predicted model, not a curated record. Lineage: Eukaryota; Metazoa; Chordata; Mammalia; Artiodactyla; Cervidae.
UAUCAGCAGAUACAUGCUUGACUUUAUCUUAUAGUCUAUAGACAAUACAUUAGAAUAUGUAAUGAAUCCAUACAUCUUUUCCAAAGGAAUACCCAAGACAGAAGUAGCAAUACAUGUAGCAAAAAUGACAGUCAGCCAGAUGAAAUAAUUUAGAUGAAGCUUGAAGACAAGAUGAAGCUUGUCUCUCUCAAACAAACGGGGACUGGCAAGUGGUCAGGAAUGAAAUACAAUGUGCUUUUAACUUUGUAUGAAAAAUAACAUACAGUUCUAUGUUGGUGAACAUAGUUCUGGUUUUGUCACAUAAAUCCUCUACUUCAAGUAAUUUUAGAAUUUUUUAAACUUACAGAUACCUUAUUUGAAGUUAAUUAGAAUCACAUUUAGUUCAUAAAUUUGGGAAGGCUUAUUUUCUUUAUGAUAGUGAAUCUCCCUUCCUAUAAACAUGCUUCCUUUGUAUAAACUUUAAUUCCUUUAAUAAAGUUGUAUACUUUUCUCCAUAAAGGAUAUAUGUAUCUUUAGGUUUUAUUCCUAGGUAUCUUUUAUUUUGGUCAUUUUAAGUGGAAUAUUCUUUAGAAUAUUUUCUAUGACUGACAUAUGGGAUGCAAUUCAUUCCUAUAGUUAUGUAUUAUUUAUUCUAACAGUAUAUUUAGAGAUUAUUUCAGGAUUCCAUCCAGGAUUCCAUCAUGAAAAAUGAAAAUUUUUUCCCUUCUUUACAUUCCUAUUAUUAUUCUCUUUUGAAAAUUUCAUUUCAUCAUUUUCUUCUUUUAAAAACUUCCCUGAAGAGAACUUCUAAAUUCAGUGUUGAGUGGAAACAAUGAUAAUGGACAUCCUUGUCUCACUUCUUAUUUUAAAAGGAAUAUUUCUAAUGCUUCAUUAUAUUAAGUGUGAAAUUUGCUGUAGAUUUUUGGCAGAUAAGCACCUUUGAAAAAAAGAAUUUUCAUUUAAUUCCUGAAUUACCAUACAUUUUACCAUGAAUGAGUAUUGGAAAAAAAUGUGUUUUCUUUUGUAGGGCACAGAAAUCUGAGGUAUGUAUUAUAUAAAUUCAAUCAUAUCAAUUGUAUUAUUCAAACAGUUAUUUUCUUAGUUUUUUUCCUACUUAUACUGAAACAUUAAAAAAAAAACCACCCUCUCACUAUGACUGGAUUCCCCUCCCCUCCCCUCCCCUUCCCUUCUUCCUUCUUUUCUUUCUUUUUUAUCUUCCUCCUUCCUUCCCUCCCUUCCCAGAUUACCUGUGACUGUAGAAAAGUUAGUGGUACCUAACAGACACGCUUACAGAAGCAUAGAAAGGAAACAUCACACAAAUUAGAAAAAUAGCAGAGUAGCAAUUUUAUAAUCAGACAAAAUAAGAGGUCAAGAUAACAAUCAUUAAAUGAUACGUAAAACACCCUUUUCCAUUGAAAUAGGCGCAUCCUAUUACCAAGGGGUAACAGUCAUGAACGCUUAGAAAUUGAAUCAUAUAACAUCAAAGUAUAUAAGGCAAAAAAAUGUUAGAAAUGUAAAUUGCUUUCUAUCUGAAUCAACGCGCUCUCAUCCAUAAACCUCGGAUUAUAACAGGUUUGCCUAUCAGGACUUUUUGAUGGUUAAGCUAAGUGAUGUGUAUAGUGAGUGAGUACAGAUACCUCAGGCCACAACCUCUUAUUUUUAAGGUCAAAUCCAAUGUGAAAGAAAUUUAAUCUUAUUCUCGAUCAAUUCAGGACACUCAAUUCUGUUGCCUCUCUCUUGCUUUUAACCUGGGAUCUCAUCCAGCUUCUAGGGAUUUAUAGAGUUUUCAAGGCAUCAGCGGAAAGCAUCUGGUUCCUGCAUUAACGAGAAAGUCUUGGGUCUUGCCUGCUCUCCAGGGACCAUGCCCAUAGCUGCUGACAUGCCCUGUUGUUUUGACCACUCCAGGAAGGUGGCAUGGGGAUGGGUGAUCUGGAUAUGAUGAAAACUGCGGAGGUGAAGUCACGAGUAAAACUGAGAUGUUGCCUCUGAAACUGUCAGGUUCAAGAAAUUGCUUACAUUAUAAAACAAAGCCUCCUUGGAGUGUUUCCCAAAUUGUUUGUACAGAGUCUCUUGGAAAAUACCCAUCCUUGCGGACAUCAGAAGAGCGAAAGUCAG